Molecule: long non-coding RNA, 1422 nt
Filed under: Pandoravirus neocaledonia
Description: hypothetical ncRNA
Source: RNAcentral
CGUCUCGCCCGCCAGAUACGUCGCGUAGACCUCCAUGGGCAGGAUGCCCACGGGCGCAACGGCGGCCUGUGCGCACUGCGCCGGUAUGUCGUCGCCGCGCGCCGCGACGGCCUCGGCGCUGAGGCGCUCUACGGUUUCAUUGAUUGUGGCGACGGCCAGAUCAACAAAGGCGUCCGAUGUGAGCACAUCAUAGAGCGAUUCGGCUGUGCCUGGAGCGCGUCCCGCACUCGGGCGCUCGUUCCCGCCGUAGACGUCACCGGCCAUGAUGGCCGAGAGCAGAGGUUGCCAGAGGCCGACCUCGGCCAGGCGCAGGGCGUCGAUGGGCGGACCAGGCAAUCGCGCGACCCAGCGCGUGCGAGGCUCGGCGUCGGUGUUGGUCUCGGUCGCUACCUGUUCGUCAAAUUCGAUCGAGGGCGGCGGUCCAAACACGCGCACCGUGAGAGCGUCGACGGGUUCGCCCGUUUCAGCGGCACGUUCAUCGAUCUGGCGCGCCUCGUCAGCCGAGAAGACGGCGCCAUCGUCUGGCAGGCUGUCGACGCGCUCGCGUUCAGGCAGGCCCCACAUGCGCGCACGGUCUGGAACGUUCAUGAUGGCAAACAGGCGGCCGCCGUCGCACAACAACGAGUCGGCGUCGAGCACGGCAUCGGUGGUGACAUCGGCAUCGCCUCGUACGGCAUCGGCCACCGUCGAGGCGGCGCCAAGCGCGGCGACGGUGCCCUCUGGCAGGGUGCGCACGGUCGCCGGUGCGGUUGUCGCCCACAAAAGGAGAUCGUUGCGUGGCACCCAAUCGUAGGCCAUUGCCGCGAGGGGCGUCGGCCAUGGGCGGCCGUCUUCCAUGAGAGGCAACGCUUCGACGUCCCAGCGGCUCUCGGUGGCGCCUUGUUCGUCUCCAAACAUGGCGCCGUACCGACCGACCGGGUACAUGGCAGCGAGGCUCGGCGGCGCAUCGCGCUCCCCGAUGCGCCCGUCAUGUUGGAGCGACGAAAAGGCGGCCACCCAGCGCCACAGCGCACAGCGCACGACGUCGCUGUCGGGCUCGUAGAGUCGCGGCAGGUCGAGCAGAUUGAUCUGCUGCCGCACGAGCCCUUCGGUCACUGGUACCGACGUUGUAGCGCACAGGUCGCGAAGGCGCGGGUCGGCAUUGCACACGAUGGACGCGGUCCGCGGGUGUGUCGCCAGGACACCGAGCAGCGCCUCAAGGGUCGCCGCGAGACCGCCGCCAUCGUUCUCUCGUUCCUGCUCGUUGAAAUAGUCGUCGCCGUCGCUCGCCGGUGGUCGUUGUCUUUUGGGGGAGCGAGCGCCUCGUGGCGCAUAGCGCUCGAUGGCACCUUCCAUCAAUGUCGAUCUCGUUGCCGGCGUCUUUGGACUUUUUCUUUUUUUUUCCUUUUUCGUCGUUAUUACGAAUAAAGGAGCGAAUCGUCG